GGUGCGCGGCGCGGUUCUCGUCGCCCGCCAACCCUGCCCCCUCACCUCUCCGGGGGCCCCUAACACGCGCACCCCUCCUCUUGUCGCCUGCGGCUUCCUCUUGUUGUUCGUUGUUUGGCUGGGUUUUGGGGGGUGAGUAGGGGGGUUACUGUAGUGUGUGUGCAGGCGGAGGAGGAAGUCAGGUGAGAGGCCGCGAAGCACCCCCACCCCAACCCAGCCUGCGUGGGGUGUAUGCUUCCCCACUAGGGGCAUGUGGGCCAUUUUUUUUUUUUUCCUCUGUCAAUGUUCGGUGGAGACGAUGUUUCCUAGAGGGCCUCCUUCACUUACAGCCUGGUCUGUCCAUCUCCCUUCAUCCCACUCUCGUCCCUCUUAGCCCCCUAUCCAGGAGCCCUGCACCCGAAGUGAGGAGCACGUGGCGGAAGGAGGAGGAGGCCCUCUCUUGAAGACCCCCACGCUGUGACCCAACCCAUUUGUUUAAAUAUCCUCACGUUACCAGCUGUACUUUUCAACCCACUGGAACAAGACGCCUAGGCAAGGUCCAAUUUCCCCAAAAAGCUGGGGGCAAAGCGGGAGAGAUGAGGAUUUUAUUGACAUUGGGAGAGAAGGGGCCAAGGAACCUUCCCAAGUGGAGACUGAAACUCAAAAAAUCUCUACAAAAAGACUAGGGUGACUGGAGGCUCAGGACUGCAGGCUUAGGAGAAACUGGAGCUCCAUCAACUUUAUUUCUCUGCCCCUGCCUCUCCUCCCCCCAGCUCUGAGGAAGCUAACAGGUCUUUUGUUUUGUAUUGUGUAGCCUUUGGGAAAUUUGCAUUGAGUAUGUCAACAGAAAAUUACUACUGUUUACUCAAAGUUAAAGGGAUUGCAGAAAGAGAAAACAUAGUUUUUACUUUUCCUCUUUUUUGUACGUGUGUGUAUUUGGCAAGAAGUGUAGUUAGGUUCAUGGCAUGAACUGCAAAACGUCAGGUUAUAACAAUAAGGACUGUGGAGCUGCCUAGGUGUAUUUUUAGAAGCCGCACUUUCUUGAAUGCCUUUCACAAAAGGCUUGCUCUCUCAUUAAGUCCCCAUAAAUAAUUUUAUUUAGAGAGGAGGAAACUAUGGAAGCAGGAGGGAGAUUGCUAAGAUUUCCAUCCUGCCAGCGCACAGCACUGUUUGCAGGGAAGUUCCUGGAAAGUGAUUGUGGGCUGAGAAUUCAGUUUUUCCUAAAAGCUCUGUUAGGUCCUGUUGUGUCAGAUGGCUAUGAAUAAAGCACGCUGGGAAAAUCCUGAUAUCCGUGCAGUCUUAUUUUAUCUUUUACACAGUGGUUGAUUCGACUUUCAAGCCCUGGUGACAAACACAUCAACUCUGCUGUAUUUUUGUGUGCUUUUUCUAAAUAAAGGAGAAUACAGCAUGUAUUCAUGCUGCUUUUUUUCCCUCAUCCAUGGUUAUUGAAUUCGCUGGAAUUUAUUCAUCUUUUUUCAGUUGAUCAUCAUUUUAUGCCGAGACCACAAUUCCAAACAUACAGGAAUUUUUUAAAAUUAUGAAUUAGGGUUCUUUUAGGGAACCAACCCUCCUUUUUAAAGAUACAAGUGCCCACCACGACUCCUAGUUUUGUAAAGCAAAGCAAAAAGGUAUAAAUGAUUAUAAUGAGCAAAACAUAGUAAAACGUUUUCCUUCUUGGAUCACUUUCUGCGCCCACAGGUCCCAGGAGACAUUAAAUCCUCCUGCCUUAAUUUACCAAAAAUGCUGCAUUUCCUAACCAGUAACAAUAUCUCUGUCUGAGAAAGACAUCAGGUUUUGAAUGGAAAAAAAUACAUUCUCAGUAUUUAAUUACUACUUAACAGUAAUUUAUGGUAGCAGGCAGUUGAUUUUCCAAUUCUGAAAGCCUGAAAUGAAGCUGAACAGAAAUUUGAAAUUUUUAAAAAAGGUUUUUUUUUCUUUCUUACACUCUUAUAUACUCAUCUGCUUCCCCAAGUUAUCAGCCAAGCCCCUAUAACUGUAAGUAUGAUAUGCUCCUCUGAGUUGAACCAAGAGACAUUUUGCCCCUCAUUUUUUGAAUUUGCUUUUUCCUCCAAGUUGUCUUGUAUAGAAAGCACAUGGGCUCUGUUAGAAUACAGAAUUAUGUAAUUCUGGGUGCAGUGCAUUAAAUAACAUAGCUUGAUAAACUCUUAAGCCUUACACCUCCACAUAGUAGGGGUUUAUUAAAUAUUAAGAUGUUAAUAAAAUAUUGUAGUUGGCCACAAAUUUCAUAGCACAAGGCUAAGAUCAUUUUUCAGAAGAAAGGGGCAUUUAAUCUGGAUUAUUUGGUUAGUUGCUAUGGUCUGAAUGUUAGUGUUCCUCCAAUAUUAGGGUUCAUGUGUUAGAACCUAAUAUCAAAAGUGAUAGUAUUAAGAAGUAGGGCCUUUGGGAAGUGAUUAAGUCAUGAAGGCUCCAACCCUCAUGAGUGAGAGGAGUGCCUUUAUAAGACAGGCUGAAUCUAGCUACCUUGCCCCUGCCACUAUGUGAGGACACAGCAACAAAAGUGCCAUCUGUGAAGCAAGGAGUGAGCCUUCACCAGACACUGAAUCUGCUGGUGCUGUAAUCUUGGACUCCCCAGCUUCCAGAACUGUGAGCAAUAAAUUUCUGUUGCUUAUAAAUUACCCAGUCAAAGAUAAUUUGUUAUAGCACCUCGAAUGAACUAACACGAUAAUAUAUUUGUGCUACUAGAUUUUUUUUAACAAGUCCAAAUCUAACUUAAAUGACUGAAAGACAAAUCUGGAACAUAUCAAAUGGCCAAUAAUAGUAGCUGGUAUCAAAAGCUACACUGGUUAUUUCCUUGAAAGAAUAGACAAUACAAUAUUGCCUACUAAAUAUUAGAAGGAAGAUCAAGGGAAAGGAUAAAACAGCAUUGGCCUUGAAGGAACUUAUUUGCUGGAAAAAAGACAUCAAAAUGUGAAAAGACAAUGGAUCAGUUAGUGGUUUAAAUCAAAGAAAUACUUGAGGAAAAAAAUUUAUAUAUAUGUAUGUAUUUUUCUUUUCUUUUAAGACCGGAAGAAUCAGAGAUCCUAAAGCUCUAGGUUGGAAGGUAUUUUUAAAGUUCAUUUGUUCUGUCAAAUCUUUAGAGGCCAUUCAAUGCAGACAUUUUGGGUGUGAAGGGGAACUUACUACUUUCCACCAUUAAGGCAAGGAUUUUUACCUAUACAGUACUUACCAGAGAAUAGAGUUCACUAUAUAUUGUGCAAGUGAAUGGAUAAUUUCAAAAGUAUUUCAGUUUAUCUUUAUAUACUUUAUUAUGUUUUUACCUUAUAUAUAUUUUUUUACCUUAUAUUGCACAGAAUUAGUCUUCCUGAAACUUCCAACCAUUAGUCUUCGUCCUGCCAGUUGCAGCCAAACAGAACAAAUUUGUUUAUCAGUCAAGAUAGGCAAUGUUGUGCUGGAGUAACAAUUCCAAUUUUUUAGUGGCCUGUAACAGCAAACGUUUUCUUGGUUAUGGUUUGAAUCCAUUGCAGUCCAGCUGGUCUGUUCCGUGUCUGUCACUCCAGGUCCCUGGCUAAUGGAACAGUUGCCAUCUUGAAUGUUUCAUGUUAUGGCAAAAAUAAAGAUCACUCUGGAGGGUUUCAUGGUGACAUUUAAAUGCUAUGGCCUGGAAAUGACAUACAUCAUAUGACCUCACAAAGAAUUAACCAGGAUUAGUUGUGCGGCUCCAAAGAAUCAUGACAAGGAGAUCAGAUAGUGCAGCCUAUCUUGUACCCAACAGUAGAGAGCUGUGGUACACAAUUCUGUGGACUACUGCCUGGUGGUAAUCCUUGUCCAUAUGAUAACCUGCCAGCUAAACAGUCUCUUCCUGUCACUUUAUGGCCCAAGUCUUCCAUUUUUUAGGGCAAACACUGCCAGAGUAGCCACCAGCUUAGAGGGAAACAUUGUUAUCAGGGGAACCCACCCCCAAUAUUUCAACGUAGAUUCUUUCUAUUUUCCCUAAGUGUCGGCCAGUCUGAGCAAUAAAGAGAAAGAGUACAAAGGGAAGAAUUUUACAGCUGGGCCGCUGGGGAUGACAUCACAUAUCAGUAGAUCUGUGAUGCCCACCUGAGCUGCAAAACCUGCAAGUUUUUAUUAGGGAUUUCAAAAGGGGAGGGGGUGUAUGAACCGGGAGUAGGUCACAAAGAUAACCUGCUUCAAAGGGCAAAAGGCAGAGCAAAGAUCACAUGCUUCUGAGGAAACAGGACCAGAGCAAAAUCAGAAACUCCUGAUAAGGGUCUAUGUUCAGUGGUGCACGUAUUGUCUUGAUAAACAUCUUAACAGAAAACAGGGUUUGAGAGCAGAGAACCAGUCUGACCUCAAAUUUACCAGGGCUGGGGUUUCCCAAUCCUAGUAAGCCUGAGGGUACUGCAGGAGACCAGGGCGUAUCUCAGUCCUUAUCUCAACCGCAUAGGACAGACAAUCCUGGAGUGGCCAUUUGUAGACCUCCCCCCAGGAGUGCAAUUCUUUUCCUAGGGUCUUAAUAUUAUAUUCCUUGCUAGGAAAAGAAUUUAGCGAUAUCUCUCCUGCUUGCACGUCUGUUUAUAGGCUCUCUGCAAGAAGAAAAAUAUGGCUCUUUUUUCCCGACCCCAUAGGCAGUCAGACCUUAUGGUUGUCUUCCCUUGUUCCCUGAAAAUCGCUGUUAUUCUGUUCUUUUUCAAGGUGCAGUGAUUUCAUAUUGUUCAAACACACGUUUUACAAUCAAUUUGUACAGUUUAACACAAUAGUGGUCCUGAGGUGAUGUACAUUCUCAGCUUAUGAAGAUAACAGGAUUAAGAGGUUAAAGACAGGCAUAAGAAAUAUAAAAGUAUUAAUUUGGGGAACUGAUAAAUGUCCAUGAAGUCUUCACAAUUUAUGUUCAGAGAUUGCAGUAAAGACAGGUGUAAGAAAUUAUAAAAGUAUUAAUUUUGGGAACUGAUAUGUGUCCAUAUUAAAGUGAAAUCUUCACAAUUUAUGUUCCUCUGCUGUCACUCUAGCUGGUCCCUCUGUUCGGGGUCCCUGACUUCCUGCAACACAUUGUGUGACUUCUUUUACUCCCUACUGUCUCUUUGAAUGCAACACUGCAACCUCCUGUACCCUUAGAACCCCUAACAAAGUGUAGCCUCCUAUCAAUUUUAUGUCACUCUUUUAUAUUUACUAAUAUUAUAUACAUUCUAUUUUCUCAGGACUUACUUUCCUGGCAAGGGUAUAAUAAACAGGCAUUUUUAACAACUGUUAUCUGAAAAUGUCAUGAUCGUUAUCAAAAUUUGAAAUGUGGUCUUGAGUAGCUACUUCCCUUGUUGUGAACGUCAAAUGUGUUAUACGAUUUUGUAACACAAAUUUUAAAAAUCUUCAUUCAUUCAUUUAUCCUACUUUUGCUCAUUCAAUAAAUAUUCAUUUUCUAUCUAGUAGAAGGCAGGCACUCUUUUAAGGACCGGGGAUAUGGAGAUGAUUAAGAGUUCUCCUCUUCAAGAAACACAUUUUCUGAUUGGGCAGACAGAAUUAAAAGUCAUUAUAAUGCUAAUAGAAGCACAAAGUGUUAUGUGAACACUUAGAAAGAAGCAAAUAGCUAGCUGGCAGGAUUUAGAAAAGUUCCAUAGAGGAAUUGACACUUAAACUAAGUCUUGAGGAUAAGUGAGACUUCUCCAGGCAGAAAGAGGAGGGAGAGAGGGGAUAUUUCAACCAAGGAGACCAGCAUGGACAAAGACACUGAACAUGACAAAACUUAUUGUUUAUGGAACUAUAAGGAAUUCAGUGAGGCUGGCACAUGGGGUCUUUGUAAACGCUGAAAAUUCUGAAGGGCCUUGCAGACAUUCUCUGGAGUUCGGACAUUAUCCCAUACAUCAGGAAUUGCAAACUCUUAUGUCUACCUUGGGCCAUGCAUGGAUGUGCAUGAUUAAAGCAGACCAAGUUAAGACUAUAAGCAGUGGUGGGGCUGUGGCAACGUGAAGAAUAUAUCCUCUGUCCAAAUGGGAUAGUAAAUGCCAUUGAUGCCUCCAUUCUCCAAAGAAAAGCAGGAAAUUUAGAUUUAUAUGAAAAAUUGAAUAUUAAGUGUUGUCAACUUAUCCAUAUUUUGAAGUACACUGUUAGUCCUUAAGCUAAUUUUGACCUACAGACACAUUUUGUAUAGCUUUUGCAUGUAUAUUUCUACUGAAGGUCAAAGUGUUUAUACCCAUUGGAGAACAGUAGCCACUCUUUAUCUGCAAGUUAUAUGUUCCAAGAUCCCCAGUGGAUACCUGAAACUGUGGAUAGUACUGAACUGUAUGUAUACUGUUUUGUCCUAUACAUACAUACCUGUGAGGAAGUUUAAUUUAUAAAUUAGGCACAGUAAGAUAUUACUAACAAUAGCUAAUAAUAAAAUUGAAUAGUUAUGAUACACUGUAAGAAAAGAGACUAUGAUCUCUCUCUUUCAAAGUUAUCUUAUUACACUGUACUCACCUAUUUUCAGACUGCAGUUGACCUCAGGUAACUGAAACUCCAGAAGAGAAACCUCAAAUAAAGGAAGACUAUUGCCUAUUUUAUCUCAACCUAUCCCAUAGCCAUGUGCCUAAGGACUGUCUUGAGGAUAUUUAAUUUUUGUUAUUUUUUUAAUUGAGUCCACUAAUUACUUACUCUUCCUAGCUGCUCUCUUGCUUUGAUGCCAGACUUGCCUGCCACUCAAUAGUCAGAAAUAUGCAGCAACACCCCACACUUUCCUAUAACCAUUAUAAUAUUAGAAAUACUAGGUAUCCUUUCAUAACGCAUGCUGACCAUUUUCUUGUAGAUUUGGUCCCAUGGGUACAUCCAUAUUCUUAAAGUCAUUCAAUUCACUGGGCCAUCAGGUCUUUAAGUUCUUGACAACUUGGCUCUACAGAUUACAAAUUUUAUUCGAUCUUCUUGACUAAAAGAAAGUCAACGUUCCUGAGUUGUUUUAUCUAACUUAUAAACAAUAAAAGUCAUCCAUUUUAUGUGUUCUGUGAGUUUUGAAUAUGAAGGGGCAGCAUGAGCAAAUUAUAUUUUAUGUGAACUUUGGAGUAAAUAAAUACAUCUAGGCAAAGCCACUUUAGGUGUCCAACUGUCUGGAUUCUAAUCCUGGUUCAAUUAGUUGCUACCUAUGUGACCUAGAGCAAAUCUCCUAAUUUCUUUAUGCCUCAAUUUCCUCAUCCAUGUUACAGGGAUGCUAAUAGUAGAUGGGGUUAGUAGAUGCAGAGUGCUUCAGAAUAGAAAAAUGAAUUUACUAGGAUGUAAGGGGGAUAUAAGUACUUACUCCUGGAUGACAUGAUGUUGUGCUGGGGGUACACAAGCCAAAGAAGAAUUAUGGCUUGUAUUUCUGGAAUAUUUAUUUUUUACUUGAGGAUUUUAGAAAUUAUUUUCUUAUGAAAAAAGUCACACAUAUAAUGGAAUUAACUGUAGCAUUUUGCAUGAAUUUUAAAGAAAAAUAAGAGUCUUUAAAAAUCUUUCAGCUGCUUCGGACUUUGGGGGGAAGAAUGGGAACUGCAUUUUCUUCCUUUUGCUGCACUCUCUCCUUUUUCAGAAAUAGAAAUCAAAGAUAUAGAGGAAAAACUUCAUAACUUCAUAAACAUCCAAGGAAAUGAAUAGAGUUAAAUGGAUAAGAGAGCCCCUAGGUGACCAGGCAAAAUGACAGUUCCCUCCAGCUGGUCCUCAGAUGGGCACAUCUAUUAGCCUCUGCUCUUGUAAGAAGUUAGCUGCAGAACCCACGUGUGAAUCCUUGUAGGACUCUGGAGAAGAUCAAAUGGGAGCUUGGAUGUGGAAGCUCUUUGGAAACCAAGAAACACUCUGCAAAUGAAAAGGGUAUCUUUUUUCCUUUUCUCCCUUGUACCAUAAAUUUCAUGAUGGCGCUUAACAGAGCUAGUCAUUUUGGUAUUUAAAAAAUGUUUGGUGAAAUAAUUAGUUAUUGGUUGAAUGAAUGAAUUUAUAAGUGAAUACAUGAAUUAAACAAAGGUAUGGAGUAGGAAAGCACAUAAUAUGAGCAGAGAAUAAGGGGUUCUAUUUGGAAGCAUGCACUAGAACUGGAUGUUAGGGAUGUGAAUGUGGCUAGCUGGAAUGGGUCUGUGGUUCUCACAAUGUGAUCUGUUGACCAGCAGUGUCAAUACCACCUGUUAACUUGUUAGAAAUGCAAAAAGAAUUAUGAAUUUGAAAUUCAGGGUGGGACCCAGCAAUCUGUUUCUCUCUAAGUCAUUCUGACGCAUAGCAAAAUUUUGAGAACCAUGACUUUGUAUUAAGGUGGGGAGUUUGGAAAUUAUUUUUCUGUAAGUUCAGUGCUAAUGAAGAUUUUCAACUGUGGGUGGAUAUAAUCACUGCUGUAUUUCUAGGAUGAUGAGGCAGGUGGUUGUACCUACAAUAUCUAUGACUUCAGCAUUAAAAGGACAAUUAGAAGUACUGGAAAACACACUGUAUUUUCCAAGCUCCAGAGAUGAAGAUUUUGUUUUUUCCUAUUUCCAAAUAAUAUCCCCAUACUUACCUAAGAGGCAAAGCAGAACAAGCAUUGCUCCCAGGCACUGGGAAAACCCACUUGGUCUGCAGAGGCCAGGCAGGAUGAGAAUGUUUAUGUGAAAAAAAAAAUGAGAGCAGACUGUCAAAUAUGGCCCCAACCUUUCUGCAGAGAGAGGAGUAAGUAAGCCUUUAGUCCUGACCAACUGUGGGAAAACAUUAAAUGGAACCUUCCAAAUUGGUUUAAAGUGGGCAGCUAAGCCUAUGCCAAGGACUAAGCCAACUGCACUGGCUACAAACACACCUAUGUCUUUAGGGCUGGUGGAUACAAAUCUGCCAAAGGAGAGCACAUUACAUGGAGGAAGAAGGAAGAGCUGCAGGGAAACAUUUAUCCUAAAGGGGAAAGAGUCAAGACAGAGAUAUCAUGGGUCAGUUGGGAAGGAGAUGGAGGGGAGAGGCAGGAGGUGAGCUGUUCAGAUUGCUAGCAUGACCAAUCCAGAUGGCUAGGAUGACCAGUCAUCCUGGUUUGCCCAAGAGUGAGGGAUAGCCCACGUCAUAGGAUUUCCAGGACAAUCCUUGUCAAAGCGGGACAAUUAGUCACCUUAAGACUCUGCCGUUUCACCUGUGUUCAAGACCUGGGGAGAAGGCAUAAUAAAAAUAGAAAAAAUCACUGCUAUCAACCUCGCUUCUCAAAAUAUUGUCCAGAAACUAGCAGCAUAGGCUUCACCUGGGAGCUUGUUAGAAAUGCAGAUACUCAGGCAUCCUAGACCUACUGAAUCAGAAUCUGCACAUUAACAAGAGCCCUGAGUGAUUUGUAUGCACAUUAGAGUUUGUCUCAAAAGAUCUUGUGGCAUCCCACAGUAAAUAAUGGAGCACAAAUAGCAGAAAUAAUUUCCUCUGGGCUGUAAUAUGGCUAAUAUCCAGGUUGAUCGGAUACUAAGCUAAAACCAGAUCAACCUUGCCUGGGAAGGACACAACCUAGGGAUGGAGAGCAACCCAGGCAGAGAGGGAGAAAGAUGGCUGACACAAAUUAGCCAAGAGGGGACCUCCUGAACUAUUAAUAGUAGUAGUAUUUGUAGGGAAUGUGAGAAAAGCCAGCAAGCCAGCAAUUGUAUGGUAAGAAUAAAGCUAGAGAAAUUAAUGUUGCCAGUACUGUGACCCUAUUUUUACCACUUCUAGGCUGAUGUGGGCUGGGAAAUGGGUUAUGCUUAGAAAUGUGGAGCCUGCCCGGUGUGGUGGCUCACACCUGUAAUCCUAGUACUUUGGGAGGCCGAGGAGGGCGGAUAACCUGAGGUCAGGAGUUCAAGACCACCCUGACCAACAGGGAGAAACCCUGUCUCUACUAAAAAUACAAAAUUAGUCUGCCGUGGUGGUGGAUGCCUGUAAUCCCAGCUGCUUGGGAGGCUGAGGCAGGAGAAUCGCUUUAACCUGGGAGGUGGAGGUUGUGGUGAGCCGAGAUCACACCAUUGCACUCUAGCUUGGGUGACAAAAGUGAAACUCCGUCUCAAAAAAAAAAAAAAAAAAGGAAAGAAAGAAAUGUGGAGCCACAGGUAGUAAGCUUCUAGCAGUAAGCUUGUAGAGAAAAAUCCAAAAUGAUCAUCCACUAAAAGUGUUCAACUCCAGAUCUUGGCCUCAUCCACUUGCAUAUCACUCAAAUAUAGUGUGCAAAGAAAGUUUAGUUUUCUUUCUUUUUUCUGCCUGGUCUGAUCUUCAUGGGCUCCAGGUCUGCAGUCUAGCAGGGAUAAUUGACACUUAAUUAAUAGUGUUUCAUUCUCCUCUGGCUUGAACAUACUUCUUUCACUUUCAACACUGAAGCCAGUAGUUCUUAAAAUCAAACAUGCAAACAUGCAUCAGUCACCUGGAGGGCUUGUUAAAACACAGAUUACUGGGUCUGCCCUCAAGGUUUCUGAUUCAGCACAUCUGAGGUGGAGCCCUAGAAUUUGCAUUUCUAAUGAGUUCCCAGGUGAUGCCGACAUUUUGGUCCACAGGCCACACUUUUAAGAACCUCUGAUUCAGACUAUUCAGAGUUUAUUUCAUAUCCAAAAGUGAUUAUUUAAAAAGUAUCUUAGAUUAAUCCUCCUCAAACUGAUUGAUUUUUCCAAUCAUGUACCAAAUACAUAGUCCGAUUGCGCAUGACCAGUAUUCAGCUUUUGCUACAAGCAACUCACCAUGCCAGUUCCACACACCUGAACUGGUUAUAUCCUGUUUAACAAGAUCAGCUCACUGAUCACAUACUAGGAUGUCAUGGAAAUGUCAAUUUAUGAUAGAAGUUUCUAAACAUGAACUUUCAUCUGUAUUUAUCUCACCCCCGAACAGGAACAGUUUGUGGACUGGCACUGGCCCUUGGACCACACUUCGAGUGACAUUGUUAUAGAUGACACUGUCUCUUAUAGGAAAAUGCACAGUCUUUCUUAGAUUCUCUACCUCCCUCUUCCAUCUCGUUCCCAACAUAGAUCUGGGUACAUGAUUAUAGAUCUGGGUCUUAUUAUAAUCUUGUGACACCCUUGGAUCAUGCACUAUCCUCUAAAUAAUCAAUAGUUUCUACUAUAGAGAGGCUCAAUUUAUCUUCUCCCUGGAAUUGGGAGCACUGAAAUAUAACUAGAACCCAACUGAUCUUUUGAGAUGUUGUGUCCUUGCCCUCACUGCUACUGCCAUAGUUCUGAACAUUUCCCCAAGCAUCAAAAAGGCCCCAUGACCUCUUUUCCCCUAGACUUCUGCCAGUCCACCAACACUCUCAGUGGGGAAGUAAGAAGCCUGGUGGAUCCUGCUUCCCACACAAAGGCCAUGAUGAGACAGGUGCUUUCUAAGUCCGAUAUAUCUACCCACCUUCUGCUGUCACCUCUGUACCUCCUGAGUCACAUGAAAUGUGGUGCUGAGCCAAAUGGUCAGUCUUCUAGAAGCAGUGGAAUGUUGGAGGCAGCUUAUAUACCUUAGCUGAUUCUUAAAUUUUCAGGAAUUUUGUGAGACAGUUUUUAAACACAGCAAUUGUUGAAAAUUAAACAAUAUAAACUUAUAAUCAAAUAUAUUAUAUUAAAAAUAAAGAUAAUGCCCUCAACUCAUCACUUCCUAUUUAUUGUUUUACACUUUAGUACUAUCUAUGCUUAUUGUAUGUGUAUGGUGGAAAUACUACAUAAUGAUAUUUAAUGGUGUACUGCCACAUAGCUCUUCCCAACUCUGCAUUCAGUGACAUCACUUUGGUAGCUUGAAAUCAGCCAUGAUAGGAGUAUUUAUAUCUUGGAAAUUGGCAAAUAUGACAAAUCAGCAUUCCACCCUCCCUUACCUCCCCACCCCCCAGCCAGUUGUUAAACAUUUACACAACCACCCAGAGCCUGCAUCUGGGAAAGUGAGCCACUAACCCAAUGACCUGUGAUAACCCUAUACAUAUCUAGCUGUUACUAAGCUGCCCUUCCCAUAAGGGUCCACCCCAAAAAGGUGUGUGUGCAGAGGAGAAUAAAAACUAAAACCCUAAGAUCAUCUUAUUUACUUGCCCUAUUUCUGCCUCUUUUCUCUCCCUGCCAUCUCUGGGGUCCAGAAGUAGAAGCUUUUUAUUUCCUCCAGAGUUUAUUCUUAUACAUCAAGGAUAAACAUUCAUGACCUAACAUCACCUCUCUUGUUUUCUCCCACCAAAGCUAUAAGGAUAGUCUAACCAUGAAAAAACAUUAAACAAACUCAAAAUGGGACAGUCUAUAAAAUACCUAACCAGUUCUCUUCAGAACAGUUAAGGUCCUGAAAGGCAAGGAGAGAACAAGAAACAAUCACAACUUGGAGGACAUUAAUGCACUAAAUUUAAUAUGGUUUCAUAAGUUGGGCUGAAAAGAAAAGGACAGUAGAAAAGCUUGGAUAUGAGAAUACAGUCUGAGUAUAGUACUAGUGUUAAGUUUUUAAUCUCUAACUUGAUGGCAUGGUUAUAGAAAAUACAAACAUUAGGCAAAGCUGGGUGAAAGGUAUACAGGAACUCUACUAUCUAUACAACUUUUCUGUAAACAUAAAAUUAUUUCAAAAUAAAACUAAUAUAAGAAAAAAACAUGGCCUACAUAAUAGAUAGAAUGGAUAUCUUCUCUAGUCUAUGAAAAACCCUGUGUCCUACAUUCACUUGCUUUGUGAUAUAAUAAAAGUGGGAAGGGAAGGGAUGAUAGAAACAUUAUUUCUCUUAAUAAACUUGGAUUUUAAAAUCUUUUGUCUUUUCGCAGCAUAAAACAUUCCACUUAGGAUGCUGUAUGUUGAGCAUUAACUUUCUCUUUCUCUUUUUCUUUAUAGUCUUUCUGUAAUAGUUCAAAUCCUGCCCACCCUGAGGGUGGAUGUUUCUAGAUGAUAAAGGAGGUCAUAAACAGAGAGUAGAUUAAUAUAAUUACCUUUAUUUCAUGUCUAUUUGCAAAUGGGCCAUUGUUCACAUAGUUGCCUCUCUUUCUAAAUGGAAGAAUAGUUGGAGUUGGCAGGGGAAAUACCAGAACUGAGAUGAGUAAAGGUGCUUCAAGACAAUGCUUCUUAAAUUUUGAUUUGUGUUUGCAUCUCGUGGGGAUCUUGUUUAAAGUAGAUUGAGAUUCAGUAUGUUUGGGGAGGGGCCCAUUAAUCUGAUUUUAUAAAAAGUUCCUAGAUGAUGCCAUGCUGCUGGUCUCUGAGAAGCAAGAGUCUGGGGUCCUUUCUAAAGUGUUUCCUCUCUCCUCUAUACAGUCAGAAAAGGAAAGUGCUUACUGGUCAGAGAUUUAAAAGACAUAGGAGAUAUACCAUACUUCUAUAAGACCAGAAACAAAAACAAAGAAGAAACAUAAUAAUCAAAAUAUGACAUUAUUGCACACAAUGAGAUGCAGUAAAAGAUGGACUACUUAGGCAUUCGCUGGAUAUAAGUGAAGCUGCCUUUGGAGUUUAAUUUUAAGUUCUCAGUAACUCACCGUAUUUAGUCAUAUCGUUUCACACACAGACAAAAUUCGUUCUCUACUAAGAAGGAACUAAAGCUCUCAGAAUUACUGAGUUGCACAGUACCAAUUUACAUGAAUUUUUUUCUUCCUCUAAAAGUUUGUAAUGACUAUGGUUCCUGGAAAAUAAUAUUUCAUUUUUUCAAUUCAUACUCUUAAUCUACCAAAAAAACACUCUUCCAAAAAUGUAAGCUAGAAAAACAGGUAAUUUGCUCAUAUCAUAGAGACAACUCAUACCAAUAAAAAAAUACAUUUUAAAAUUUGGAAAAUUACAAUGAAAGAAUAAGGCAUUUUGCAUGCAGAUGUGUUGUGUUUUUACUCCACAAUAUUGGGAGCUUCCAAAGUGUAACAUGCAUUUACAGAGCCACUCUCUUAGCAUUUAAACUGGGAGGCAUUUUUCGAGAAGCGUGAGUCUUGCUCAGUGGUCCUGUAGCCACUCUAGCAAUCUCACACGGUACAUGACUUAUAAAUAUUGUGUGUGCUUGAUGGAAGUAGACCUGACUUUGCUAAUCACUUACUAGUUCUUUUGCCCAGUAUUUCUUUGUUUUGGAAGCAACUUUGUUUAGCUUACCAAAUGUAUAUUGUCUAAUUUGCAGGAAAUAUAAAUAAUAUUACAAAUAGCAAAAUGGGGUUGUAUGUGCAGAUUUCUGCAUCCUGCUGGGCCCUGUCAUGUUUAGUAAUAGCUUUUCCUUGUGCUGUUGCCACUGCCAAACAGACUUCUUAUGUGAUCUUUGGCUUUCUUAACACCUCUUUGGGGAUCAAUAAAGUGUUUCUUUUUUUUCUUAGAUGCCAACUUCAUCUGUCUUUAAGAAUACAAUAUUAGUUUAAAAGACUGUUCAACUUAAAGCAGUCUUGUAGAGAUUGUCACCCAUGAUUGAUGCUGGGUGAGUAGAAAGGAAAAUGUUGAUUUUAUCCUCUGCCUUUCAGAUCUUUGAAGGGGAAAGUGGGCUAGUUUUUUAAACUGCAGUCUGAUCAAAUGUUUCAAAAGUUGUUCAAAAGUAAUCUUAGUCCAACACUGCUCUUCUGACUUUUAUCUAGAGAAAUGGAAAAGUUUAUAUAUUAACCAUUUGUUUCUUUUAAGUACUUGUGUACAUUUUUCUCUUGCAAUAAGUAUUAAUAAUUGAAAAUUAUUAAAUUUUCAUUUUAAUGUUUUUUAUUAAGUUUGAUAUGUUUCUUAGAAAUGAAGACCUGUGGCUCAAAUAGGAGCAGACAAUUCAUGUAAUCAAAUUUUAAAUUCAAGCAGAGCUAUCAUACCAACAUAUUUGUAUUUCUCUUUGUCUUGGAAUUAUUGGUUUGUUUAAAAUAAUAAGUGUAGCCAAUUAUUUUGUUAUUCUGUUAUUUAAAAUAUAAAUUUGCUGUCUAAAAUUUUUUAUGUAAAGGUGAGUGUAUAAAUGAAUAUAAAUAUAAAUAAAUAACUAAU
Molecule: long non-coding RNA, 14712 nt
Organism: Pongo pygmaeus (Bornean orangutan)
Lineage: Eukaryota; Metazoa; Chordata; Mammalia; Primates; Hominidae
Exons: 5
Source: RefSeq, a predicted model, not a curated record